This 218-nucleotide ribosomal RNA is filed under the name uncultured bacterium. Its description in RNAcentral is "partial 16S ribosomal RNA". It matches the Rfam family "Bacterial small subunit ribosomal RNA", at positions 116 to 334 of the family's 1533-position model. The record is from RNAcentral.
CGUGGAUAACCUGCCUCACACAGGGGGAUAACAGUUAGAAAUGACUGCUAAUACCGCAUAAGCGCACGGCAUCGCAUGAUGCAGUGUGAAAAACUCCGGUGGUGUGAGAUGGAUCCGCGUCUGAUUAGGUAGUUGGUGGGGUAACGGCCCACCAAGCCGACGAUCAGUAGCCGACCUGAGAGGGUGACCAGCCACAUUGGGACUGAGACACGGCCCAA